Molecule: long non-coding RNA, 422 nt
Organism: Lacerta agilis (Sand lizard)
Lineage: Eukaryota; Metazoa; Chordata; Lepidosauria; Squamata; Lacertidae
Exons: 2
Source: RefSeq, a predicted model, not a curated record
UUCACCAGCGGUGGUGGUGAGGUUGAUUCGAGCGCCUUCAGCAGCCCGGUCCUAGGUGUGUUUACCCCGAAGUAAAGUCCAGUUUUCAGCGGGCCUUACUCAUGGCUGACGACUUUCAUCUUGGCUGUGAAGUUCAUUAAACCUGCAGCAACUUCUUAUAAUGCUAUGAAGUUUGAGAGGAUGACUUGGAGAAAUAUCCUAGAAGCUGGUAGCUGAAAGGGCAGAACUAUCAGACAACAUAACUUAUUUGGCACUGAAUCAGAAAAAGAGAAAGAUGCCAAGUGUCCAUGGUGGGUCGGCCUCAGACAUAAAGUGUGAUACAAACUGAUGGGUUACACCUGCUGUUGAAAGUCAUGUAAAUGGUGUGGUCUUAAAAGUUCACAUACAAAGAUUUCUCCAAUAAUAAAGUGUGAUAAAAUGAA